Molecule: non-coding RNA, 73 nt
Organism: Clostridium sp. CAG:277
Lineage: Bacteria; Bacillati; Bacillota; Clostridia; Eubacteriales; Clostridiaceae
Source: Rfam
GCACCUAUAGCUCAGUGGAUAGAGCAGUGGUUUCCGGAACCAUGUGGCGGGGGUUCGAGUCCCUUUAGGUGCG